GUACACGCUGUGACUAGCAUAUCAAUAAGCGGAGGAAAAGAAACUAACAAGGAUUCCCCUAGUAACGGCGAGUGAAGCGGGAAGAGCUCAAAUUUGAAAUCUUAAAGGGUUUCCCUUUACGAAUUGUAGUUUAAAGAAGUGUUUUCUGUUGAGGUUUUGGUAAAAGUUCUUUGGAAUAGGACAUCAUAGAGGGUGAGAAUCCCGUAUUUGACCUUUACUUUCAACUUUGUGAUACACUUUCAAAGAGUCGGAUUGUUUGGGAAUGCAGUCCAAAAUGGGUGGUAAAUUUCAUCUAAAGCUAAAUAUUGGCGAGAGACCGAUAGCGAACAAGUACCGUGAGGGAAAGAUGAAAAGAACUUUGAAAAGAGAGUUAAACAGUACGUGAAAUUGUCAAAAGGGAAGCGUUUGACACCAGUGUUGUUUUUCUGAAAAUCAAUUAAAGAACUGUUUAUGCUAAGUUGUUUAGACUUUAUCAGUUAACUGUUUAGUUUUGAGCUUUUCUUUAAUGCACUUUUCAGUUAACAAGUCAACAUCAAUUUCUUUUGCUGUAAAAGAGCUUGAGGAAGGUGGCUUGAGAUUCGUCUUAAGUGUUUAUAGCCUCUUGCCUAUGCAGUCGGAGAGAUUGAGGUCUGCAGCGUAGAUCCUUCGGGGCUAAAUGCAUUUGUGCUAAGUUAUAGCAUUUUAUAGACAACUUGUUGACUAUGAUUUGUCUUGUAGCUUACUCGCUUAUGUUAUUUUACCUACGCUUAGGAUGUUGACAGCAGUAUAGACUGU
RNAcentral lists this ribosomal RNA (774 nucleotides) under uncultured Neocallimastigales. RNAcentral describes it as "partial large subunit ribosomal RNA". It matches the Rfam family "Eukaryotic large subunit ribosomal RNA", at positions 22 to 637 of the family's 3401-position model. Lineage: Eukaryota; Fungi; Neocallimastigomycota; Neocallimastigomycetes; Neocallimastigales. The record is from RNAcentral.